AUUGAACGCUGGCGGCAGGCUUAACACAUGCAAGUCGAGCGGAGAGAGGUAGCUUGCUACUGAUCUUAGCGGCGGACGGGUGAGUAAUGCUUAGGAAUCUGCCUAUUAGUGGGGGACAACAUUUCGAAAGGAAUGCUAAUACCGCAUACGUCCUACGGGAGAAAGCAGGGGAUCUUCGGACCUUGCGCUAAUAGAUGAGCCUAAGUCGGAUUAGCUAGUUGGUGGGGUAAAGGCCUACCAAGGCGACGAUCUGUAGCGGGUCUGAGAGGAUGAGCCGCAACCCUGGGACUGAGACACGGCCCAGACUCCUACGGGAGGCAGCAGUGGGGAAUAUUGGACAAUGGGCGGAAGCCUGAUCCAGCCAUGCCGCGUGUGUGAAGAAGGCCUUAUGGUUGUAAAGCACUUUAAGCGAGGAGGAGGCUACUUUAGUUAAUACCUAGAGAUAGUGGACGUUACUCGCAGAAUAAGCACCGGCUAACUCUGUGCCAGCCGCCGCCGUAA
Molecule: ribosomal RNA, 501 nt
Filed under: uncultured bacterium
Lineage: Bacteria
Description: partial 16S ribosomal RNA
Rfam family: Bacterial small subunit ribosomal RNA
Source: RNAcentral